RNAcentral lists this ribosomal RNA (628 nucleotides) under Microbacterium oxydans. RNAcentral describes it as "bacterial SSU rRNA". It matches the Rfam family "Bacterial small subunit ribosomal RNA", at positions 49 to 690 of the family's 1533-position model. Lineage: Bacteria; Bacillati; Actinomycetota; Actinomycetes; Micrococcales; Microbacteriaceae. The record is from RNAcentral.
UUACCAUGCAGUCGAACGGUGAACACGGAGCUUGCUCUGUGGGAUCAGUGGCGAACGGGUGAGUAACACGUGAGCAACCUGCCCCUGACUCUGGGAUAAGCGCUGGAAACGGCGUCUAAUACUGGAUAUGUGACGUGAUCGCAUGGUCUGCGUCUGGAAAGAAUUUCGGUUGGGGAUGGGCUCGCGGCCUAUCAGCUUGUUGGUGAGGUAAUGGCUCACCAAGGCGUCGACGGGUAGCCGGCCUGAGAGGGUGACCGGCCACACUGGGACUGAGACACGGCCCAGACUCCUACGGGAGGCAGCAGUGGGGAAUAUUGCACAAUGGGCGCAAGCCUGAUGCAGCAACGCCGCGUGAGGGAUGACGGCCUUCGGGUUGUAAACCUCUUUUAGCAGGGAAGAAGCGAAAGUGACGGUACCUGCAGAAAAAGCGCCGGCUAACUACGUGCCAGCAGCCGCGGUAAUACGUAGGGCGCAAGCGUUAUCCGGAAUUAUUGGGCGUAAAGAGCUCGUAGGCGGUUUGUCGCGUCUGCUGUGAAAUCCGGAGGCUCAACCUCCGGCCUGCAGUGGGUACGGGCAGACUAGAGUGCGGUAGGGGAGAUUGGAAUUCCUGGUGUAGCGGUGGAAUGCG